Non-coding RNA from Equus caballus (horse), 832 nucleotides. NCBI's taxonomy places the organism in Eukaryota, Metazoa, Chordata, Mammalia, Perissodactyla, Equidae. The record is from RefSeq and is a predicted model, not a curated record.
AGCAGCCCCCGGCCUCUCUCCACCCACGACUGCGAGGUCUUGUCAAAGACAAACAGCUUGCACUGGAUCUGGAACACAAGGCGGCCUCCAGGGAGGUAUUAAAAAAAUCCUUAAGGAAAUGCCAUCGGAACACAAUGCGAUACCACUUCAUACCCACUAGGAUGGCUAGAAGCAAAGACAGAUCGUAACAGGCACAUGCAGGACGUGGAGAAACCAGAAGCCUCACGCACGGCUCGUGGGAUGUACAAUGGUGCAGCUGCGGGGGAAACCGCUCCUCCGAACGGAAGCAUGGCGCUCUCACAGGGCCCAGAAAUCCCACUCCUGGGGUCCACCCGAGAGAAAUGAAACAUGUGUCCACACAAAAACUCGCACACGAAUGUUCACAGCAGCAUGAGUCCUAAGAAGCAAAAAGUGGACAGAACCCAACCAUCCAGCCACACGCUGGAGUACAAUGCAGCCAUGAAAAAGAGUGAGGUCCUGACAGCCGCACGUGCACGGACCUGCACACACGAUGCUCAGGGAGAGAAGCAGACACAGAAGGACACACGGUGUGUGAUCCCAUUGACGGGAAACGUCCAGAACAGGCAGAUUCACAGACAGAGAGCGGGCUUGUGGGUGCCAGGGACUGGUGGGGUGGGGGGUGACUGCUUAUGUGCAGUUUCUUUUUGAGGGACAAAAUUGUUCUAAAUUAGACAGUGGUGAUGGUUGCACAACUCUCUGAGUACACUAAAAACUACUGAAUUGUAUGCUUUAAAAGGCUGAAUUUCAUAGUACGUGGACCAUAUCUCAAUAAAGCCGUAAAAUACAUUAAAAAAAGAAUAUGCAACAGAGA